This 160-nucleotide ribosomal RNA is filed under the name Penicillium digitatum. RNAcentral's name for it is "5.8S ribosomal RNA". It matches the Rfam family "5.8S ribosomal RNA". From Rfam's summary of the family: 5.8S ribosomal RNA (5.8S rRNA) is a component of the large subunit of the eukaryotic ribosome. Lineage: Eukaryota; Fungi; Ascomycota; Eurotiomycetes; Eurotiales; Aspergillaceae. The record is from RNAcentral. RNAcentral also lists the same sequence under 2 other names.
UUUAAAACUUUCAACAACGGAUCUCUUGGUUCCGGCAUCGAUGAAGAACGCAGCGAAAUGCGAUACGUAAUGUGAAUUGCAAAUUCAGUGAAUCAUCGAGUCUUUGAACGCACAUUGCGCCCCCUGGUAUUCCGGGGGGCAUGCCUGUCCGAGCGUCAUU